Carassius auratus (goldfish) is the source of this 4445-nucleotide long non-coding RNA. RefSeq lists it as uncharacterized. NCBI's taxonomy places the organism in Eukaryota, Metazoa, Chordata, Actinopteri, Cypriniformes, Cyprinidae. The record is from RefSeq and is a predicted model, not a curated record. The transcript has 7 exons.
GAGUGAACUUGAAUAAUAGUGUACCAUGAACACACAGUCAUGCACAGAGAUCCAACAAUCAAGUUGUUUGUUAAAUAAUAUGGAAAAGUUCAGUAUGUUUCUCACCAAACCUUACUGUAUAACCCCAGAAAACUUGGAAUAGACAUCACAUGAUACAUAAGACCACUUUAUUAUAUUUUUGCUUCUAUUUUAACAGCUUGAUGUUAUUCGCCAUAGACUGACAUUAUAUGGACAAGCACAUUUUGGACGUUUUAUUUAAAUCUCCUUUUGUGGUCUAACAAAGAAACGUAUGACAUAGGACAAAUCCAAGGGCGAACACUUGACCUUACAUCAGCGUGUAAUAUCGGAAGUGUGACGUAAUUAUUCAGUGAGUCCCGUUAGCUCAGAGGGAGGGGCGGGGCUUGUGAGCUACCCUGGGUCCAGCCGCUGGGGGCGAUCGAGACGCACUGGCGUCACGCUGCAGCAGCGCUUGUGAGGAUCCCUCGGUGUGCGCAUGCGCGAGUAAGAAGAGCCGAGCUGCAAGAGAGUAUUGAGAGUUAUAUGGUGAGUGCGAGUCCUCUUUAUCUUUUCUUUCUUUUCUAUUAUUUGCUAACGGAGCCAGAUAAGUCACCUGUAGGAGAGAACAAAAGAAAAGCACUCUUUCGCAUCCGUUCCUAGGGUUUGUAAACUGUACCCAGCAAGCAAUUUCGCGUCUAAUAGACGUCUAAACACAGCCCAGACGUCUAGGCUAAAUCGAGGCUAAUUUUGGGCUGUCAGUGAAAAUCUAAUAGACGUCUAAACAUACCCCAAGAAUAGACAGCUAUUGAAUGACUACAUAUAUACGUCUAAUAGACGUCUAACCAUAGCCCAAGAAUAGACUAGUCAUCAAUUAGACCGCUAAACGACUACACGUCUAAUAGACAGGCAAUAUGGGUCUAGGCUAAAACAAGGCUGAUUUUGGGCUGUCAGUGAAAAUCUAAUAGACGUCUAACCACAGCCCAAGAAUAGACUAGUCAUCAAUUACACUACAUAUACAUGUAAUAGACAACAAAAUGAGGCAUAAGGAUUCUUUUCACUCAAAUAUAACAGGUUCUCAUAAAUGAAAAUCCAUCCAUACUAAUUGAAUAUAAAGGGAUUUAUUUUGAAUAAUUAUAUAUACAACAACAACUUGGACAACAUUCAAACAUAAAAAUUAACAAAUAUAUGUAACAAAAAAUAUGUAAAACAAUUAAUUUUUUAAGAAUUGACCUAUGAAUUUUCAUUUAAGUGAAAUUACUAAACUUACAUAUAUGAGCUUGAUACAAAUGAACAUUCGAGAAGAAAAUUUCAGAUGGCACUUAGAGGCUUUUGCAUCUGAACUCUUUAUAUCUAUCUAUCUUUAUAUAUAUAUUCAAUUGCUGUACUUUGUUGACUGAUUGCAGGAUAAUUAGCAAUAAACAGUGUCUUUAAAUCAAAUAAAGUGGAUUACAUCACUCCAGUUCUGAGGUUUUUACACUGGCUAUCUGUCUGUCAAAAAAUUAAUAUCCAAAAACUACAGUUGGUUAUUAAAUUAACAUUUUAACGACAAAGUAAAUUUCUAAUCUUCUGAUGCACUAUGAACCAUCCAGAGCAGACCUCUCAGGACAUCUGGGACAGUAGCCAACUACUUCUAUAUCUCCAAAGUCAAAACAAAAUAUGGAGAAGCAGCAUUCAGAUUUAUAUCUGAAACAAAUUCACCGAAAACUGAAUGUAUGCUGCAUAUUUUAAUUAUUUACAAACAAGUUUAAAGACUUUAUGUUUGCCACUACCUUUUAUUAAAUGGAGAGGAUUUUUUUUUUUUUAUUUCUUUUCAUGUUGCACUAUGCUGCUGUUAAAUUUUAUGUAAAGUACUUACAAAAUUUGCUUUAAAUCAACUAUAAUUUAAAAACAAAAAUAUACUGGUAUCUUUAUAAUAAUAAAAAAUAGUAAUGAUAAGUUUCAUAGUUUCAUGGUUACCGCAUCCAUUGAAUUUAGAUACAUUUGCAAUUACACGUGCAGGUAACGUUAACUUUUUGGAGAAAAGUAGUACUCUGCAAUGUUAAUGUUAAAAUGUCAUGGUUUCUACACAUUAUAACAGCUAACUAAUUUAAAAAAUGAACAUAUCAAAAAUAACACGCAUACUUACAAGAUCGAAGUAGAAAUGUGAAGGUUUUCACUCAGACUGUUGCUCACCCGUUGCUCUCCGACAGCUGCCUCGUGUAAAAUAAAAUGGCGGAAAUGUUUAUCGCGAGAUUUGGCUAAAGUGAUCUAGACAUGUCUCAGUAGUGUUUCGAUUGUGCCAUCUAGCGGUUGGGAAAUGCAAUUGCAUUUGAUUUGAUUUUUUUUUAUCGUAGAUUGUGUAUGAAUGUUUGACAGAAUAUAUAUUAAGCUGUGUAAGCGAAAACAUUUCAAAGACUAAUAUUCUAGGUCGCUGGUCUGAAUCUGGGCUAUAGCCAAGCCGUACGUAGACCAGAUUGCAUUGAUUUCGCCAGGUGGGCUAAAGCAGACCGCAUAUAGCCCGUCCAAUUCGGAGCUAAAUCGUGACUACAGAUCGACCAUGUCGUGAAAAUGACAUAUUGAACAUUGAUAUCAUACCAAUGCGAAAAUGAUUGAAUAUUAACCAUUUCAUGCACUGCCUGGCAAAAAAAUACAAUUAAUCAGUUUUGACAAAAAGUGGGCUACAAUAGCCGGGUCUGAAUACGAGCUAAAUCGUGGCUAAGCACAGCCUACACAUAUAACAUGUAAAAUAAAGUAAACCAAACAACUUGUAAUCACGGUAGACUCUGCGUACAUGAUGGAAUAUCAUACAUCUCACAAGUUAUUUUGCAAAAAAAAUACAUUUAUCCAGAUUAAAUGUUAUUUGGGCUAAAAGUGGGUUACACAUAGCCGGACUAUAUCGGUCUAUAUUUAACCCAGACAUUGAAAUGAGGGCUAUUGCUUGCUGGGUAGCUACAUGCAACAAGCUCAAGUAGCCCGUGUCAACGAAUCAUUGUAGUUUUGUAGGGCGUUAUUUUAAUGACAAAUGUGAGAGAGUUUUAAGAGUUGCACAGGACACAGUUUGAGAGAGACACACGUUUUUAAGUGCGCGCGGCCGGUGUCCCCCCACCCAGCACCAGACGUCAUUUGGACGUCGUUUUCUGGUCUAAAUGAAGUCGACCCGUCAUGGCCAUCUUUUAGACCAAAAAGCGACGUUGAAAAUUGGUCUUCAUUUGGUCUGUCGGAUUUGGUCCAAAUUAAGCCCAAAAAGCGAAGUUGAAAAUUGGUCUUCAUUUGGUCCGUCGGAUUUGGUCCAAAUUAAGCCCAAAAAGCGAAGUUGAAAAUUGGUCUUCGAUUGGUCCGUCGGAUUUGGUCCAAAUAAGCCCCAAAAGCGACAUUUAACGUCUCCAAAUUUAGCCCAAAAAUAGAUGUAAAUGGGCUUUAAGUCCAAAUUUAUCAGAAAAAUAACUUUUAUUUCGCACCACAAAGCCCUUGACAUAAACCAGUGAUUAAAUAUAUUAGACCUCAGGUCUGAAGCAUUGUUAAAUAUAUUUAAAUAUUUUGAAAAAACUUGAUGGUCACGCGCUGAACUGGAGCGGAGGAAGUCACCAUGGAAAUGGGGCGCAGCUCAACCGUCAAGCAGCUGAAUGGACGCUGUCUCUCAUGGAUGUUUUCACUAAUUUCAGAAAUGUGUCUUCAGAAAAGUUAGCAUCUCAACCAUAAUCCUAACUACAAGAGUUAUUUUGAUGUCCACACUGUAAGAGCAUUACUCGAUUCUUCCAUGCUGAUGGCCGUGCGUGUAUCCAGCUGAAGAACAUUUUUAGACAUUAUGAAACAUAUAACUAAGUUUAGCUCCAACCCCAGUUAAGCGGACCUGAGCAGCUGAUCAAGGAUCAGCAGAAACUCUGCAGAACAAUGGUCCUCCAGCCCAGGACUGGACACCAGUGUUAUGCUGGGGAUGGAGGAAGAAGCAGAAGAUCAGAGAUCAGGCAGAGAUCUACUGGUGCCCCUGUGGGAAUCCCAUUUACCUAACGUGUUAGUUAAACCAAAGAUUUCCAUCACGCACCUUCAUGUCCAAGCCAGACUUUUGUUCAUCUUUGAAACACAAAUGCAGAACUUUUUAAUAAAAUCGGAUAAUUUUUUUAUAUUAAAUAACGCAUUCACACAAGCACCAUGAUGCAUCAGUGCUGCAUUGGCGUGAGAGCUGGCGCUUUUGUGAAAAUCCAUUGGGGAUUCAUAAUUUCUGAAUAGAUUAUUUUUACUGUUGUUGUUGUUGUUUUUUGCGUACCCAAGGCAUCUGUUAAAAAAUAUCUUAAUUUGUGUUCUGCAACAUGGUUUGGGGCAACAUGAGGGUAAGAAAAUAAUGACAGAUUAAAAUUUUUGGUUGUUCUAAUGUGGUUAUAAUUGUUCAUAGUUUAUUGUCUUGAAAAAUUAUAUUAAUACAGAAAGAUGGAUUAAUUUGAUAAGUUUAUAAUAAAGACUUUUAAAUUGAU